UGGGGAAUAUUGCACAAUGGGCGCAAGCCUGAUGCAGCCAUGCCGCGUGUAUGAAGAAGGCCUUUGGGUUGUAAAGUACUUUCAGCGGGGAGGAAGGUGUUGUGGUUAAUAACCGCAGCAAUUGACGUUACCCGCAGAAGAAGCACCGGCUAACUCCGUGCCAGCAGCCGCGGUAAUACGGAGGGUGCAAGCGUUAAUCGGAAUUACUGGGCGUAAAGCGCACGCAGGCGGUCUGUCAAGUCGGAUGUGAAAUCCCCGGGCUCAACCUGGGAACUGCAUUCGAAACUGGCAGGCUAGAGUCUUGUAGAGGGGGGUAGAAUUCCAGGUGUAGCGGUGAAAUGCGUAGAGAUCUGGAGGAAUACCGGUGGCGAAGGCGGCCCCCUGGACAAAGACUGACGCUCAGGUGCGAAAGCGUGGGGAGCAAACA
Molecule: ribosomal RNA, 427 nt
Filed under: uncultured bacterium
Lineage: Bacteria
Description: partial 16S ribosomal RNA
Rfam family: Bacterial small subunit ribosomal RNA
Source: RNAcentral